Colinus virginianus (northern bobwhite) is the source of this 83-nucleotide non-coding RNA. NCBI's taxonomy places the organism in Eukaryota, Metazoa, Chordata, Aves, Galliformes, Odontophoridae. The record is from Rfam.
CCCAUCAAUCGCUCAGUAGUCAGUGUAGAUUCUGUCAUUACAAUCAGCAGCUACAUCUGGCUACUGGGUCUCUGAUGACAUCU